UCGAGCGGACAGAAGGGAGCUUGCUCCCGGAUGUUAGCGGCGGACGGGUGAGUAACACGUGGGUAACCUGCCUGUAAGACUGGGAUAACUCCGGGAAACCGGAGCUAAUACCGGAUAGUUCCUUGAACCGCAUGGUUCAAGGAUGAAAGACGGUUUCGGCUGUCACUUACAGAUGGACCCGCGGCGCAUUAGCUAGUUGGUGGGGUAAUGGCUCACCAAGGCGACGAUGCGUAGCCGACCUGAGAGGGUGAUCGGCCACACUGGGACUGAGACACGGCCCAGACUCCUACGGGAGGCAGCAGUAGGGAAUCUUCCGCAAUGGACGAAAGUCUGACGGAGCAACGCCGCGUGAGUGAUGAAGGUUUUCGGAUCGUAAAGCUCUGUUGUUAGGGAAGAACAAGUGCGAGAGUAACUGCUCGCACCUUGACGGUACCUAACCAGAAAGCCACGGCUAACUACGUGCCAGCAGCCGCGGUAAUACGUAGGUGGCAAGCGUUGUCCGGAAUUAUUGGGCGUAAAGGGCUCGCAGGCGGUUUCUUAAGUCUGAUGUGAAAGCCCCCGGCUCAACCGGGGAGGGUCAUUGGAAACUGGGAAACUUGAGUGCAGAAGAGGAGAGUGGAAUUCCACGUGUAGCG
RNAcentral lists this ribosomal RNA (635 nucleotides) under Bacillus sp. FJAT-4431. Its description in RNAcentral is "bacterial SSU rRNA". It matches the Rfam family "Bacterial small subunit ribosomal RNA", at positions 62 to 680 of the family's 1533-position model. The record is from RNAcentral. Lineage: Bacteria; Bacillati; Bacillota; Bacilli; Caryophanales; Bacillaceae.